AGUGAACGCUGGCGGUAGGCCUAACACAUGCAAGUCGAACGGCAGCACAGUAAGAGCUUGCUCUUACGGGUGGCGAGUGGCGGACGGGUGAGGAAUACAUCGGAAUCUACUUUUUCGUGGGGGAUAACGUAAGGAAACUUACGCUAAUACCGCAUACGACCUACGGGUGAAAGCAGGGGAUCUUCGGACCUUGCGCGAUUGAAUGAGCCGAUGUCGGAUUAGCUAGUUGGGGGGGUAAAGGCCCACCAAGGCGACGAUCCGUAGCUGGUCUGAGAGGAUGAUCAGCCACACUGGAGCUGAGACACGGUCCAGACGCCUACGGGAGGCAGCAGUGGGGAAUAUUGGACAAUGGGCGCAAGACUGAUCCAGCCAUACCGCGUGGGUGAAGAAGGCCUUCGGGUUGUAAAGCCCUUUUGUUGGGAAAGAAAAGCAGCAGGUUAAUACCCCGCUGUUCUGACGGUACCCAAAGAAUAAGCACCGGCUAACUUCGUG
RNAcentral lists this ribosomal RNA (492 nucleotides) under uncultured bacterium. Its description in RNAcentral is "partial 16S ribosomal RNA". It matches the Rfam family "Bacterial small subunit ribosomal RNA", at positions 29 to 507 of the family's 1533-position model. The record is from RNAcentral.